Long non-coding RNA from Myotis myotis, 1076 nucleotides. RefSeq lists it as uncharacterized. The record is from RefSeq and is a predicted model, not a curated record. The transcript is spliced from 8 exons. NCBI's taxonomy places the organism in Eukaryota, Metazoa, Chordata, Mammalia, Chiroptera, Vespertilionidae.
GGCGGGGCCAACUAGCCCGGAAGUCGCGGCGGCAGCCUCAGGCUUGCAUUGCAGAGAAAGGCUCCUGGGGCACAGGCGGCUUCCCCAGCCUCUGACUCCUGCAGUGGCCGGGGGUCCCCAGCGUCCAGGGGCCAGCAGCUUCCCCAGGCCACCCCCUUGGGCAGUUUCAUCGCACAGAGCGCCUCGGGGACACCUGCGGGCGAACACCUUUCUCCGGCACCUGAAAAGCACACGACUUAAAAACUGGCCUUUGAAUUGAACUCGUAGACAUUGAUUUAGCCCUUUUCAGACCCACACUCACAGUUUCUAUUGGAAAACAUGUUUUGUCAAGUGAAGGGGAUAUUUCUCUAAGAAGCAUUCCGAAGCAGCCACACAGAGCUACAGGAAACGAACACUGCAAAAAUCAGUUUGUUGAAAUAGAAGACACCCCUGCAUGGACUUUUGUUAUUCACUCUUGUAGAAAAGACUUCCCCCUUUUCAAGAAUAACUACCAUCCUGAGAUCACCCUCCCUUCCCUUCCGUAACUGCCACCAUUGAGAAGCAUUUGUGCGGCCCUGAGCUCACCAGGCAGCACCUACAGUUGGUCUGUACCUGACAAAGUCUGGAUUAUGUCUUCAGUUUGCACGAGGCUUCCUCUUUCCACGAACAGAUAUCCGUUUCAUGACUGGGUGAGUGAGACGUCUCCAAAGGAAUGGCCGUGGUCAGCAUCCCGGACUCAUCAGAGCUAAAUUACCGCUCGAUAAUAUUGCAUUUUGUGCUGCACGGAUGCUCUCGCACACCUGAGCGGACCGGGGCGCUCCGCUGUCUAAUUUCUCCUUUGUGCAACAGUCUGGCGUAAUCCAGGAGUUUAAACAACCGAUGGGCCAACUGAUCCACAAUUUGGGGUCCCUGGUUUUUUUUGGAGCAAACAAUUAUGUGUGAGGUGCUGGACAUGCCAAGAUGAAAACGCAGAACCAAGUUGAGAGUUUCCAGCUCAGUAACCUCCAUCCAGGUACCACCAUGCCCAAUCCCUGUGCAACUUCUACCACACUAAGGCAUUGAUUAAAAAGAGAAAAAUGGCCCUAACCGGUUUGGCU